ACGAUAACGGCGUCGAGCGGCGGACGGGUGAGUAAUGCCUAGGAAAUUGCCCUGAUGUGGGGGAUAACCAUUGGAAACGAUGGCUAAUACCGCAUGAUGCCUACGGGCCAAAGAGGGGGACCUUCGGGCCUCUCGCGUCAGGAUAUGCCUAGGUGGGAUUAGCUAGUUGGUGAGGUAAGGGCUCACCAAGGCGACGAUCCCUAGCUGGUCUGAGAGGAUGAUCAGCCACACUGGAACUGAGACACGGUCCAGACUCCUACGGGAGGCAGCAGUGGGGAAUAUUGCACAAUGGGCGCAAGCCUGAUGCAGCCAUGCCGCGUGUGUGAAGAAGGCCUUCGGGUUGUAAAGCACUUUCAGUCGUGAGGAAGGUAGUGUAGUUAAUAGCUGCAUUAUUUGACGUUAGCGACAGAAGAAGCACCGGCUAACUCCGUGCCAGCAGCCGCGGUAAUACGGAGGGUGCGAGCGUUAAUCGGAAUUACUGGGCGUAAAGCGCAUGCAGGUGGUUUGUUAAGUCAGAUGUGAAAGCCCGGGGCUCAACCUCGGAAUUGCAUUUGAAACUGGCAGACUAGAGUACUGUAGAGGGGGGUAGAAUUUCAGGUGUAGCGGUGAAAUGCGUAGAGAUCUGAAGGAAUACCGGUGGCGAAGGCGGCCCCCUGGACAGAUACUGACACUCAGAUGCGAAAGCGUGGGGAGCAAACAGGAUUAGAUACCCUGGUAGUCCACGCCGUAAACGAUGUCUACUUGGAGGUUGUGGCCUUGAGCCGUGGCUUUCGGAGCUAACGCGUUAAGUAGACCGCCUGGGGAGUACGGUCGCAAGAUUAAAACUCAAAUGAAUUGACGGGGGCCCGCACAAGCGGUGGAGCAUGUGGUUUAAUUCGAUGCAACGCGAAGAACCUUACCUACUCUUGACAUCCAGAGAACUUUCCAGAGAUGGAUUGGUGCCUUCGGGAACUCUGAGACAGGUGCUGCAUGGCUGUCGUCAGCUCGUGUUGUGAAAUGUUGGGUUAAGUCCCGCAACGAGCGCAACCCUUAUCCUUGUUUGCCAGCGAGUAAUGUCGGGAACUCCAGGGAGACUGCCGGUGAUAAACCGGAGGAAGGUGGGGACGACGUCAAGUCAUCAUGGCCCUUACGAGUAGGGCUACACACGUGCUACAAUGGCGCAUACAGAGGGCRGCCAACUUGCGAAAGUGAGCGAAUCCCAAAAAGUGCGUCGUAGUCCGGAUUGGAGUCUGCAACUCGACUCCAUGAAGUCGGAAUCGCUAGUAAUCGUGGAUCAGAAUGCCACGGUGAAUACGUUCCCGGGCCUUGUACACACCGCCCGUCACACCAUGGGAGUGGGCUGCAAAAGAAGUAGGUAGUUUAACCUUCGGGGGGACGCUUACCACUUUGUGGUUCAUGACUGGGGUGAAGUCGUAACAAGGUAGCGCUAGGGGAACCUGGCGCUGGAUC
This 1449-nucleotide ribosomal RNA is filed under the name Vibrio parahaemolyticus. RNAcentral describes it as "bacterial SSU rRNA". The record is from RNAcentral. Lineage: Bacteria; Pseudomonadati; Pseudomonadota; Gammaproteobacteria; Vibrionales; Vibrionaceae.